UCCUACGGGCGGCUGCAGUGGGGAAUCUUAGACAAUGGGGGAAACCCUGAUCUAGCCAUGCCGCGUGAGCGAUGAAGGCCUUAGGGUUGUAAAGCUCUUUCAGAUGGGAAGAUAAUGACGGUACCAUCAGAAGAAGCCCCGGCUAACUCCGUGCCAGCAGCCGCGGUAAUACGGAGGGGGCUAGCGUUGUUCGGAAUUACUGGGCGUAAAGCGCGCGUAGGCGGACUGGAAAGUUGGGGGUGAAAUCCCGGGGCUCAACCUCGGAACUGCCUUCAAAACUAUCAGUCUGGAGUUCGAGAGAGGUGAGUGGAAUUCCGAGUGUAGAGGUGAAAUUCGUAGAUAUUCGGAGGAACACCAGUGGCGAAGGCGGCUCACUGGCUCGAUACUGACGCUGAGGUGCGAAAGCGUGGGGAGCAAACAGGAUUAGAUACCCCAGUAGUC
This 441-nucleotide ribosomal RNA is filed under the name uncultured Paracoccus sp. RNAcentral's name for it is "bacterial SSU rRNA". It matches the Rfam family "Bacterial small subunit ribosomal RNA", at positions 337 to 795 of the family's 1533-position model. The record is from RNAcentral. Lineage: Bacteria; Pseudomonadati; Pseudomonadota; Alphaproteobacteria; Rhodobacterales; Paracoccaceae.